Molecule: long non-coding RNA, 617 nt
Organism: Pseudopipra pipra
Lineage: Eukaryota; Metazoa; Chordata; Aves; Passeriformes; Pipridae
Exons: 2
Source: RefSeq, a predicted model, not a curated record
UCAAGACAUCCCUGUAUUAUAGUGAAGAAGUUUGCAUGUUCAGUAUAUCUGCUGGAUAGUUCGCUGAGUCCAGGAGCAUUUAAACCAACACAGCUUCUUGAACUGCAUUAACAAGAGGGCCAGGGAAGUGAUCUUUCAUGAGAUUUCAUCUGAGUACUGUGACCAGUUUUGGGCUCCCUCCAGUACAGAACGAUAUUGACACAUGGGACAGAGUCAAUCAAAAGGCUUCCAAAACAGCCAGAGGUUGCAGAACACAAUGCACAUGAAGAUGCUGAGACAGCUGGAAUAUUUUCAUCUUGGAGAAGAGAAUGCUAAAAGGAGAUCUUGUUGCUGCUUACAACUUCCUGACUGCAGGACAGGACUGGAAAAUGGAACUAGCCUCUUCUCAGAGGUGCACGAUGAUGGCACAAGAGCCAACAGACACAAGUUGCAACAUGGGGAGCCUCAGAUGUAAACAGAACCUUGAGGGGAGAUUAUGAUGUUACAACCUGGGAUUUGUGAAGACAAUGUCUGGAAGCUAAGAUCCAAAAGGAAGAACUUCAAACAAAUCUUCUGUUUCAGAAAUAGAUGCAGAUGAGAUUGGUAAUUUCCUUAGCAAAUAAAUUAAUUUAUUUCAA